RNAcentral lists this ribosomal RNA (460 nucleotides) under uncultured bacterium. Its description in RNAcentral is "partial 16S ribosomal RNA". It matches the Rfam family "Bacterial small subunit ribosomal RNA", at positions 338 to 795 of the family's 1533-position model. The record is from RNAcentral.
CCUACGGGAGGCAGCAGUGAGGAAUAUUGGUCAAUGGGCGCGAGCCUGAACCAGCCAAGUAGCGUGAAGGAUGACUGCCCUACGGGUUGUAAACUUCUUUUAUAAGGGAAUAAAGUGAUGCACGUGUGCCUUUUUGUAUGUACUUUAUGAAUAAGGAUCGGCUAACUCCGUGCCAGCAGCCGCGGUAAUACGGAGGAUCCGAGCGUUAUCCGGAUUUAUUGGGUUUAAAGGGAGCGUAGAUGGGUUGUUAAGUCAGUUGUGAAAGUUUGCGGCUCAACCGUAAAAUUGCAAUUGAUACUGGCAGUCUUGAGUACAGUAGAGGUAGGCGGAAUUCGUGGUGUAGCGGUGAAAUGCUUAGAUAUCACGAAGAACUCCGAUUGCGAAGGCAGCCUACUAAACUGCAACUGACAUUGAUGCUCGAAAGUGUGGGUAUCAAACAGGAUUAGAUACCCUUGUAGUC